Molecule: ribosomal RNA, 309 nt
Filed under: Bacillus pumilus
Lineage: Bacteria; Bacillati; Bacillota; Bacilli; Caryophanales; Bacillaceae
Description: partial 23S ribosomal RNA
Rfam family: Bacterial large subunit ribosomal RNA
Source: RNAcentral
GUCGUGAGACAGUUCGGUCCCUAUCCGUCGCGGGCGCAGGAAAUUUGAGAGGAGCUGUCCUUAGUACGAGAGGACCGGGAUGGACGCACCGCUGGUGUACCAGUUGUUCUGCCAAGGGCAUCGCUGGGUAGCUAUGUGCGGACGGGAUAAGUGCUGAAAGCAUCUAAGCAUGAAGCCCCCCUCAAGAUGAGAUUUCCCAUUCCGCAAGGAAGUAAGAUCCCUGAAAGAUGAUCAGGUUGAUAGGUCUGAGGUGGAAGCGUGGUGACACGUGGAGCUGACAGAUACUAAUAGAUCGAGGACUUAACCUAU